RNAcentral lists this ribosomal RNA (633 nucleotides) under Staphylococcus cohnii. RNAcentral describes it as "bacterial SSU rRNA". It matches the Rfam family "Bacterial small subunit ribosomal RNA", at positions 383 to 1011 of the family's 1533-position model. Lineage: Bacteria; Bacillati; Bacillota; Bacilli; Caryophanales; Staphylococcaceae. The record is from RNAcentral.
CUGACGGAGCAACGCCGCGUGAGUGAUGAAGGUCUUCGGAUCGUAAAACUCUGUUAUUAGGGAAGAACAAAUGUGUAAGUAACUGUGCACGUCUUGACGGUACCUAAUCAGAAAGCCACGGCUAACUACGUGCCAGCAGCCGCGGUAAUACGUAGGUGGCAAGCGUUAUCCGGAAUUAUUGGGCGUAAAGCGCGCGUAGGCGGUUUCUUAAGUCUGAUGUGAAAGCCCACGGCUCAACCGUGGAGGGUCAUUGGAAACUGGGAAACUUGAGUGCAGAAGAGGAAAGUGGAAUUCCAUGUGUAGCGGUGAAAUGCGCAGAGAUAUGGAGGAACACCAGUGGCGAAGGCGACUUUCUGGUCUGUAACUGACGCUGAUGUGCGAAAGCGUGGGGAUCAAACAGGAUUAGAUACCCUGGUAGUCCACGCCGUAAACGAUGAGUGCUAAGUGUUAGGGGGUUUCCGCCCCUUAGUGCUGCAGCUAACGCAUUAAAGCACUCCGCCUGGGGGAGUACGACCGCAAGGGUUGAACUCAAGGAAUUGACGGGGACCCGCACAGCGGUGGAGCAUGUGGUUUAAUUCGAAGCACGCGUAGAACCUUACCAAAUCUUGACAUCCUUUGACACUCUAAGAUAGA